GAUAUCUUUAAUUGAAGAAAAAGCUCAGUAUUUAAUUUUAACAGACACCCCCAGACUUCUGUUGGUUUUCCAGGAAGGAAAGAAUACUUAACAAUUAGCACAACUGUUCAACAUUUCUUGUGAAUGCACAAUCAUAUAAAAAUAUAUUUCACUGUCAUGUGCAUAAUUUUUUUUUCUCACUCAGUAGAACUGUCUUCUUUGCUCGUUUUCCUUGGUUUCUUAUACAUAUUACAUGUUGGAGUGCUCGAUCCACAUAAGAAAUUUGGAUAAAGUAUAUACUUUGCAUUAUAUGAAGUACUGCGCAGGCAUCUUGCUAUAUCUUUGUCACACUUGCACGUCAGUUUUUGGCAUCUGUCCUCUAACACAUCUGAAAGACAAAAGUAGUUUCCAUUGAGAACAUCAAUUUUAUUGGGAAUAGUUUUACAUCUGACCUGCUUCUUUAUUGAAAUACUUCAAAUGCUGUUACUGUUAUCAGAAAUCCUAUCAACUAAUAGUGUAGACAC
Molecule: non-coding RNA, 503 nt
Organism: Pelobates cultripes (western spadefoot toad)
Lineage: Eukaryota; Metazoa; Chordata; Amphibia; Anura; Pelobatidae
Source: the annotation of a GenBank genome assembly